Mustela lutreola (European mink) is the source of this 1803-nucleotide long non-coding RNA. RefSeq lists it as uncharacterized. The transcript has 3 exons. Lineage: Eukaryota; Metazoa; Chordata; Mammalia; Carnivora; Mustelidae. The record is from RefSeq and is a predicted model, not a curated record.
GUAGCGGGCCACGUACCAGACAUCUUAAGGAAACCAGAGCUCUGGUUACUCCUCAGUUUUAACACCUCAUGAGAGGAGCCAAUUAUUUUGGACCAACAAGCUGCCUUUCGUGGAGUUUUGUCUCUGCUUGAAGUCAGAGCCCGUCUGCCAGCACAGAUUCGUGGGGUGCGGGGAGAGGUGAGCCCAGGUGACCAGGUGAGCCCAGGUGAGCAUGGCGGGGAAGGAGAUAAAGGCUCACCCUCUCGCCAUGCAUGCCUGUGUCCAGCCGUCCUCCUGGACCUGGGAGUCAAGGUCAUAUCACGAAAACAACGGUUGGCUCUGGACCAAGGCUCUGGGGCUGCAGCAACUGAGACGGAGUCUUUGCUCUGCCGAGCGCUAGCCGGAUGGCCUCGGGCAGGGGUCCUGACCUCUCUCAGCUUCGUUUCCAUCAUCAGCGAAAUAGAGAUGACCGUGGGUUGGAGGGGAUUGAGCAGGACACUGCGUGCAAAAUGCUCAGCCCCGUGGCGUGCACAGAGCGCACAUGGUCAGUAAAUUGACCAUUACAGCAUCAGUCCAUUUGUAACAAAGCUGUUAGAGGCCGCGCCCUCAGGGAGCUCAGCUGGCUUCUCUCACGGAGCAUCAGGUCCUCGGGGUCCAUCCACAUCGUAGCAGGGGUCAGUGUUUGGCGGAGGGACAUUCCAUGGCAUGGACGCACCACACCCGGCCCCUCCCGUCACCCUCGCCCCCUUCCUACCCUCCCGCCGCUGUGAGUAGCGGUCAUCGGUUUGGAAAUGGGACAGACUGUUUUCUUGUCUGAUGUCUCUGCUGGACGGGCAGCUUCUCAAGGGCAGCCAAGGGUUUGGUGUUAGGGCUGUUGCCUCCCUCCAGCUCACAGGUUGUACGGGAGAGCGCAUGUGAGCAGGAGGGAGGGGGAAGGAGGGGGGAUGGUGGAGGGGGGAGGGGAGGGGUUCCCAGCCGCCUGCAGAGGCCAUGCAGCCCUGCCCGCACCCACCCUGCUGGUGGGCUCCUCCUGCCUCCCGCAGCUCCCAGCCCAGGACAGAGCGGUCCUCCGACCUUCCCUCUGCUCCCUCCCGGGGCCCCCGGCACCCUGCAAACGGAGACAGGAAAGGGCAGGUGCCCGCCCGCUUGCCCUCGUCACCCGCCAUUCCACCCAUGCAGAAAUCACUGCGCUGGACUUGGAGGACAGUGGCCACGUGCAGGGGCAGAGAGCGGCUCCCCGAAACUGCGUGAAAUGGACACAAACGCACCCGGAGUUCUCAGGAGGGAGGGUCGUCGCUGUGGUCCUCGGGGUUUGCCGUCCGGACAGGACCCAAGACGGCUGCACCUGUCACCUGAGACCUGUCACCUGAGCUCCUUCAGCCACAGCCCGGGGCUGGCGGGGUGGAGGGGGGCGUCUGACAGCCAGGAAGACCCCAAGGCACGGGACAGUCUCACGCCUGCUCCCGCUGUGUCGGGGCACCCGGAUGGAAAGCCUGACGUGACCGCCGCCCCCUCCCCAGGCGGGGGCCCCUUCCUUUGCACUAACAUGCAGGGCAACAUGCCGGCCGCCUCCUGGUUGCCGGGCCGUGUGAAAAUCACCCCAGUGGCGCGAUGAGCUGUUUGCCCGGGGUUAAUCGUCAGUGUUAAACCUUGCUCGGCGCAGGUUUAAAGCUGAAUUUUCAAUUUCCAUGUCUAAGAAAUCCAUUCUCCCACCCGCCGCGGGAGAGAACGGAGUUCACGGGUUUAGCCCAUUUCCGGGCCUCUUGACUCAGGGCACUACUAGGCGUGGGCCAAGUGGAGGGGGUCUGCAGCUGCUUCUCUGCU